Acanthosepion pharaonis is the source of this 99-nucleotide non-coding RNA. Lineage: Eukaryota; Metazoa; Mollusca; Cephalopoda; Sepiida; Sepiidae. The record is from the annotation of a GenBank genome assembly.
AUUGAAACACCAGUUCCCGUACGACCACCAAAGUUAAGCAACGUCGAGCUUGGUCAGUAUCUAGAUGGGUGACCACUUACGAAUACCAGGUGCUGUAAG